AAAGAACUUUGAAGAGAGAGUUCAAGAGUACGUGAAACCGCCCAGAGGUAAACGGGUGGAUCCGCAAAGUCGGUCCGCGGAAUUCAGCGGCGCCCGGCCCGGGGUCGCCGCGGUUCGGGAUCCUUGUGAACCGAUCGCGGUGCCGAGUCGGGCCCCGCCGCGUGCACUUUCCGUGGACAGAGAGCCACAACCGGUUCGGUGAGCUUGCGACGACAGGCCACGAGGGUUGUAGGUGGGGGCGCUCGCGUCCCUACCAGCCUUCCCCGGUUAGCCGCCUCCGGACCGAGGGACCGCCGCGCGCUUCGAGGCCAUCCUCCCCUCCGGGUGAGGUCGACAGGGAGAGACUGGGCAACCGUGUCUCCUGACCGCUCACCCGCGAUCGGCGUGGGGCCGGCCGGGCGCGAUUGAGAGGGUUUGUGGCAAGUCUGUCGGCAUUCCACCCGACCCGUCUUGAAACACGGACCAAGGAGUCUAACAUGCGCGCGAGUCAUUGGGCGGUACGAAACCCAAAGGCGCAGUGAAAGCGAGGGUCGUUUCCGAGCGGCCUAGGUGGGAUCCUCUCCUCUGGGAGCAAUCCGUGAGGGGUGGC
RNAcentral lists this ribosomal RNA (589 nucleotides) under Vallonia costata. Its description in RNAcentral is "partial 28S ribosomal RNA". It matches the Rfam family "Eukaryotic large subunit ribosomal RNA", at positions 368 to 775 of the family's 3401-position model. The record is from RNAcentral. Lineage: Eukaryota; Metazoa; Mollusca; Gastropoda; Stylommatophora; Valloniidae.